This 478-nucleotide ribosomal RNA is filed under the name uncultured bacterium. Its description in RNAcentral is "partial 16S ribosomal RNA". It matches the Rfam family "Bacterial small subunit ribosomal RNA", at positions 28 to 523 of the family's 1533-position model. The record is from RNAcentral.
GACGAACGCUGGCGGCGUGCUUAACACAUGCAAGUCGAACGGUAAGGCCCUUCGGGGUACACGAGUGGCGAACGGGUGAGUAACACGUGGGUGAUCUGCCCUGCACUUCGGGAUAAGCCUGGAAAACUGGGUCUAAUACCGGAUAGGACCACUGCCUGCAUGGGUGGUGGUGGAAAGCUUUUGCGGUGUGGGAUGGGCCCGCGGCCUAUCAGCUUGUUGGUGGGGUGAUGGCCUACCAAGGCGACGACGGGUAGCCGGCCUGAGAGGGUGACCGGCCACACUGGGACUGAGAUACGGCCCAGACUCCUACGGGAGGCAGCAGUGGGGAAUAUUGCACAAUGGGCGCAAUCCUGACGCAGCGACGCCGCGUGAGGGAUGACGGCCUUCGGGUUGUAAACCUCUUUCAGCACCGACGAAGCGCAAGUGACGGUAGGUGCAGAAGAAGGACCGGCCAACUACGUGCCAGCCGCCGCGGUAA